Acanthosepion pharaonis is the source of this 95-nucleotide non-coding RNA. The record is from the annotation of a GenBank genome assembly. Lineage: Eukaryota; Metazoa; Mollusca; Cephalopoda; Sepiida; Sepiidae.
GAACACGGGUUCCCGUACGAUCACCGAAGUUAGGCAACGUCGAGCCUGGCCAAUACCAAGAUGGGUGACCGCUUGGGAAUACCAGGUGAUGUAAG